This 494-nucleotide ribosomal RNA is filed under the name uncultured bacterium. RNAcentral describes it as "bacterial SSU rRNA". It matches the Rfam family "Bacterial small subunit ribosomal RNA", at positions 1 to 507 of the family's 1533-position model. The record is from RNAcentral.
UCGACGAGUUUGAUCAUGGCUCAGGAUAGAACGCUGGCGGCGUGCCUAAUACAUGCAAGUCGAACGAGGUGCUUUUGUAGCAAUACGAGAGUAUCCUAGUGGCGAACGGGUGAGUAACGCGUGGAUGACCUCGACCCCAAAGUGUGGGAUAACAGUCCGAAAGGAUUGCUAAUACCUCAUGUGGUUAUCGGUUUUAGAAAGCGAUAACUAAAGCAGCAAUGCGCUUUGGGAGGGAUCUGCGUCCCAUCAGCUAGUUGGUGAGGUAACGGCUCACCAAGGCGACGACGGGUAGGGACCUGAGAGGGUGGCCCCCCACAAUGGAACUGAAACACGGUCCAUACACCUACGGGUGGCAGCAGUAGGGAAUAUUGCUCAAUGGGCGAAAGCCUGAAGCAGCAACGCCGCGUGUGCGAUGAAGGCCUUCGGGUCGUAAAGCACUUUCUAAGAGAUGAGAAAGGACAGUAUCUUAGGAAUAAGUCUCGGCUAACUACGUG